Molecule: unclassified non-coding RNA, 216 nt
Filed under: Hevea brasiliensis (rubber tree)
Lineage: Eukaryota; Viridiplantae; Streptophyta; Magnoliopsida; Malpighiales; Euphorbiaceae
Source: RNAcentral
GCAGAUAGCUCGAGGCAGCAAUUAAGGUUUGAUUGUCAUGUUCUGUCAUGAACUUCCCAUUUGAAUUUAUAAAUGAAUACUAUAAGGCAAAGCAUUUGUAAUAAAGGACAAGAGUAAAAGACAAUAAAUCAUGUGAUUGGGGGAAUCAUAACGGAAUCAAUAGAUGCAAAUAAAAUAUGCUGCAGAUUGAUCCUAAUGCUAUCAUUGUUUUCAUCU